RNAcentral lists this ribosomal RNA (274 nucleotides) under uncultured bacterium. RNAcentral's name for it is "partial 16S ribosomal RNA". It matches the Rfam family "Bacterial small subunit ribosomal RNA", at positions 523 to 796 of the family's 1533-position model. The record is from RNAcentral.
AUACAGAGGGUGCGAGCGUUAAUCGGAAUUACUGGGCGUAAAGCGCGCGUAGGCGGCUUGGUCAGUCGGAUGGGAAAGCCCUGGGCUCAACCUGGGAAUUGCAUUCGAUACUGCCAAGCUAGAGUAUGGGAGAGGGAAGUGGAAUUUCCGGUGUAGCGGUGAAAUGCGUAGAUAUCGGAAAGAACACCAGUGGCGAAGGCGACUUCCUGGCCCAAUACUGACGCUGAGGUGCGAAAGCGUGGGGAGCGAACAGGAUUAGAUACCCUAGUAGUCC